CCUACGGGAGGCAGCAGUGAGGAAUAUUGGUCAAUGGUCGGGAGACUGAACCAGCCAAGCCGCGUGAGGGAUGAAGGUACAGAGUAUCGUAAACCUCUUUUGUCAGGGAACAAAGGCGGGGACGUGUCCCCGGAUGAGUGUACCUGAAGAAAAAGCAUCGGCUAACUCCGUGCCAGCAGCCGCGGUAAUACGGGGGAUGCGAGCGUUAUCCGGAUUUGUUGGGUUUCAAGGGGGCGCAGGCGGCCUGUUACGUCAGCGGUCAAAGCCCGGGGCUGAACCCCGGCCCGCCGUUGAAACUGGCAGUCUCGAGUUGGAGAGAAGUAUGCGGAAUGCGCGGUGUAGCGGUGAAAUGCAUAGAUAUCGCGCAGAACUCCGAUUGCGAAGGCAGCAUGCCGGCUCCACACUGACGCUGAGGCACGAAAGCGUGGGUAUCGAACAGGAUUAGAUACCCCUGUAGUC
Molecule: ribosomal RNA, 459 nt
Filed under: uncultured bacterium
Lineage: Bacteria
Description: partial 16S ribosomal RNA
Rfam family: Bacterial small subunit ribosomal RNA
Source: RNAcentral